This is a long non-coding RNA of Bombus pascuorum, 124 nucleotides long. RefSeq lists it as uncharacterized. Lineage: Eukaryota; Metazoa; Arthropoda; Insecta; Hymenoptera; Apidae. The transcript has 2 exons. The record is from RefSeq and is a predicted model, not a curated record.
AUAAAAUAUGAAUUCGAUAAAAACUAGUGACUUCUCGCGAGUGACAGUCGUUUGUGUGUACAGUCGCCAAUGACAACGAUACAGCCAAGUUAAGAAUGCUUUGCUGUUUCAAGGAACAUCGUGA